GGCGGGGGCACGGGGGGAGAGUUUGAUCAUGGCUCAGAUUGAACGCUGGCGGAAUGCUUNACACAUGCAAGUCGAACGGCAGCNCGGGAGCUUGCUCCUGGUGGCGAGUGGCGAACGGGUGAGUAAUGCGUCGGAACGUGCCGAGUAAUGGGGGAUAANGCAGCGAAAGUUGUGCUAAUACCGCAUACGCCCUGAGGGGGAAAGUGGGGGAUCGCAAGACCUCANGUUAUUCGAGCGGCCGACGUCUGAUUAGCUAGUUGGUGGGGUAAAGGCCUACCAAGGCGACGAUCAGUAGCGGGUCUGAGAGGAUGAUCCGCCACACUGGGACUGAGACACGGCCCAGACUCCUACGGGAGGCAGCAGUGGGGAAUUUUGGACAAUGGGGGCAACCCUGAUCCAGCCAUUCCGCGUGAGUGAAGAAGGCCUUCGGGUUGUAAAGCUCUUUCAGCUGGAGUGAAACGGUGCGCUCUAACAUAGCGCGCUAAUGACGGUACCAGCAGAAGAAGCUC
RNAcentral lists this ribosomal RNA (509 nucleotides) under uncultured bacterium. RNAcentral describes it as "bacterial SSU rRNA". It matches the Rfam family "Bacterial small subunit ribosomal RNA", at positions 1 to 493 of the family's 1533-position model. The record is from RNAcentral.